GCAAAGUUGGAACUGUAAGCUAGUCAUACUUGUUUAGCUCUUGAAGAACCAUGAAAAUGGAGGAUCUAGCACUGUCCAAGUUUUCUGUUAUGUUUCUUUUCUUUUUUUUUUUCUUUGAGAAAAUGGGGGGGUAAGUGGGGCUUUACUCGUAUUUGUUAGUUGUAAAUGGAGGGGCAAAUACAUUAGAACAUGAUGAUAUUGAUAGGUGGGGUCAUGAAAGUGUAUAUGUAUAGGGUGUGAUUUUCU
Molecule: unclassified non-coding RNA, 246 nt
Filed under: Hevea brasiliensis (rubber tree)
Lineage: Eukaryota; Viridiplantae; Streptophyta; Magnoliopsida; Malpighiales; Euphorbiaceae
Source: RNAcentral